This 750-nucleotide ribosomal RNA is filed under the name Helicotylenchus oleae. RNAcentral describes it as "eukaryotic LSU rRNA". It matches the Rfam family "Eukaryotic large subunit ribosomal RNA", at positions 388 to 965 of the family's 3401-position model. Lineage: Eukaryota; Metazoa; Nematoda; Chromadorea; Rhabditida; Hoplolaimidae. The record is from RNAcentral.
UUAAAGAGGACGUGAAACCGAUGAGGUGGAAACGGACAGAGCUGGCGUAUCUGGCCCGCAUUCAGUCGUGGCCCGGCAGGCGUCAGGGAUGCCGCUCUCCAGAUUGGGACGGUGGCCUGGCUGCCAGUUGGGUUGCGGUGCAUUUGCGGGUGGAGUGCGCCGAGGCGCUCGGCUCAGCUGCAUGAUCUCGGCCUUGAGGCCAGCCCCUCACGGGGUCUGGUACCCGGGUCGGGGGAGUGCUGUUUGGGCUGGGUGUUCAGUGUUGGGCAAUGGUUUCGGGCCCGGGUGGGUGCCGAGCUGGUUGUCGGCGGCGGUCGCGUGCGACACGUGCCAGCGGUCAGUUCGGUCCUGCUCGAGCUCACACGUGCCUGGCCUCGGUGUAAAAGCCGGUCAUCUGUCCGACCCGUCUUGAAACACGGACCAAGGAGUUUAGCGUGUGCGCGAGUCAUUGGGCGUUGAAAACCCAAAGGCGCAAUGAAAGUGAAGGUCUGCCUCGCGCAGCUGAUGUGUGAUCCUGGCCACCGCGGUGCGUCCGGGCGCAACAUAGUCCCGUUCCGAUUGCUUGCAAUGGGGCGGAGACAGAGCGUACGCGCUGAGACCCGAAAGAUGGUGAACUAUUCCUGAGCAGGAUGAAGCCAGAGGAAACUCUGGUGGAAGUCCGAAGCGAUUCUGACGUGCAAAUCGAUCGUCUGACUUGGGUAUAGGGGCGAAAGACUAAUCGAACCAUCUAGUAGCUGGUUCCUUUCCGAA